AACGAACGCUGGCGGCAGGCCUAACACAUGCAAGUCGAACGCCCUAGCAAUAGGGAGUGGCAGACGGGUGAGUAACACGUGGGAACCCUCCCUAUAGUACGGAAUAUACCAGGGAAACUUGGAGCAAUACCGUAUACGCCCGAGAGGGGAAAGAUUUAUCGCUAUAGGAUGGGCCCGCGUAGGAUUAGCUAGUUGGUGAGGUAAUGGCUCACCAAGGCGACGACCCUUAGCUGGUUUGAGAGAACGACCAGCCACACUGGGACUGAGACACGGCCCAGACUCCUACGGGAGGCAGCAGUGGGGAAUAUUGGACAAUGGGCGCAAGCCUGAUCCAGCCAUGCCGCGUGAGUGAUGAAGGCCUUAGGGUUGUAAAGCUC
RNAcentral lists this ribosomal RNA (377 nucleotides) under uncultured bacterium. RNAcentral describes it as "bacterial SSU rRNA". It matches the Rfam family "Bacterial small subunit ribosomal RNA", at positions 29 to 433 of the family's 1533-position model. The record is from RNAcentral.